CACGGAAUGUUUAUCUGCUUACAGAAACACAAACAUGUUCUUCUGUUCAAGAUUCGUCUGCACAUCUUCUAGAGACCCCUAAAACAAAGCCUGUUUGAACUGCCUCAAACCGCUUCUUAUCGGUACAGAAAAGUGUGUCAUGCUCUGCGUUUCAUAUAUAUAGUAGUGGUUCAGCACAAGCACCUCAGAGCGCUCUCAUUAUUCUCUCCUGCUUUAUUCUAUCCUGUAUUAACCAUCUUUCUGUAAUAAACCUUUUUACCUUCAGAGGACGAGUCUGCGAGUGUUGUCUAAUUUCCAUGACAACGCCAAACCUGAUUAUUUGUUCCAUGUUAUCCUGUGUUUUCAUUCUCACUACUUAAUCAUUUAAAUAGCACACAGAGAUCAUCAAUCCAUAAAGGAAAUCAUGAAGACACAGAGGGAAAGACAAAAUAUUUGAAUAUAAAAUAUUUAAAUAUGGAGAAUUGUGGAGGCCAUGUGGUCAGAUCAGUAAUUCCCUUUACACUGGCUACUUUCUCUGGAGGCUCUAAAGCGUCGGUAUUAGGGGGCCAAGCACCGACUGAACAUGUGCCAUUCUCCACCAUUAUGUGAAAAUUAGUUCUUUGUCUCACUGUUUGCCCUAAGACCCUCCAAAACCCGAUCACAUAUGGCUUCUUCUUUAUUUAGGUCAUGUGAUCAGAAACUGGGGGAAAAAUAAACUACGGUCGAAUUAUUUAACUUACGGAUCAGAACAAAAGCCACGAGAACAAACUCCACUGCAGUGAUCCGACUUAAAAAAA
Ictalurus punctatus (channel catfish) is the source of this 776-nucleotide long non-coding RNA. The record is from Ensembl. NCBI's taxonomy places the organism in Eukaryota, Metazoa, Chordata, Actinopteri, Siluriformes, Ictaluridae.